CGUUAGUCUUGGGGGCAGCUGGAGGUUGGCUGAUCCAGGCUGGUGCACUCAUGCACCUGCAGGUCGGCUGGGGGUCAGCUCAAGGCUGGGCUCGGCCGGCACACGGUAGCUGGGCAGCUCUGCUCCACGUGUAUCUCUUGUCCUUCUCCUGGGACCAACAGACCAGGCCGGGCAUGAACUUCUCGUGGCGAUGACAGGAGCACAAAUGAGUAGGUAGAAAUAGGCCAGGCCUCUGGAGGCCAAGGACUGGAACUGAUGCACAGUCUCUCCUACCCACCUCUUCUAUCGGCCAAACGUGUCACAUUGCGGGGAGGGAAAUAUACUCUACAGUUUUGGGAAAUCAAAGUCACGUGAGAAGGGCGGGGUUACAAGGGAAGAAUUAGGGCCAGGAAUGCAAUUGAUCUGUUCUAUUGAUUAUCAUCAUUGCUGUUUAUAUUUAAAUGCAGAAUUUGAAUCAAAAUCUUCCGGCACGGGGCUGGAGGAUCUCCACCUUGCGAACUUUUCCUGGUGAACCCGACACAGCUGGUCUGGCUGAGGGGCUCCUAGUCCACUUUCACAAUCAGCAGGUCAUAAGGAUCAUCUGUGGCUCUGAUGAAAAAGCCAGACUCCUAGGCUGCUUCCCCGGAGAUUUCAGACGCCGAUUCUUAACCAAACAUCUUGCACCCAAAACUCCAGCUCAGAAUCUCCUCCAGGAGAACCCAACCUGCAACAGGACUCAAAAGCAACCAUGGUGGUGUGGAGAGGGGGCUUCAGCCGUGGCAAUUAACUUUGCUAAGGGGCGCACACGGGCGAAGGGAGGCGUGCAUCACAUGAAAUCAUGCUCCUAAGGAAGCCUUGGCCGACUCAAGCGCGGUAGACACCUAAACAUUUAAAUCACCUUUUCCUAUUGAUUAAGGAGGACAACCUAAGACCUCGUGAGAGCAACCCUUGGCUGACAGCUAACGAGAAAACAGAACCCUCAGUUCUGUGACUGCAAGGAACCGACUUCUGUAAACACCUGGACAAGUCUGGAGGAAGACGCCAAACUAAGCUGUGGCCAACACCUUGAUUUCAACCACAUGGGACCCUGAGCAUAGAACCCAGCUAUGCUGGCUCCAGACUUUAGAGCCAUGAAAACCGUGAGAUAACAAACAUAGGUUGUUUUAAACCACUGUAUUUGUGGCAAGGGUUUGCAACAAUUAAAAACUAGCACAAAGUUAAAACGCAACAUUUAACUUUUCAAAGUCAAUCAGGAAGCAUAAUAAGGUUCUUUUGACAGACUUCCUUCCCCGUUUGAAGUUAGAGACAAUGGAUCACAAUAACAAAUUUUAAUUCAGUCUCACAUCGAGCUUUAUCCAGAGUAUUGUUGAGUAUCAAGAAUAUCCAGAUUCCCAGAUGCAUAGUUAUUAAUAGCUCAAUUGGCAAAUUCUGGGUGCUCUUCCGUUAUACAGAGCUGAGAAGAGAAGCUUAACAUCAGAGUCCGUCCCAGGGAAAUUUUGCCUGGCAGUCCAAGUUAAUGAUCUGGUGGUCCUGGCUGUGUUAAAUUCGGUCUCCAACAUCUUGAGAGUUGUAGGGAUUUUUAAAAAUUACAGUUUUAAAAAUAGCUAAAACUAUGUUUUUAAAAGAAUUUUAAGUGAAAUAUUUGGGAAAUCUCUGAAGGGCGUCUAUGAAAUCCAGGGCUCAGGAGACAAAGGCAGCAUCCAGAAUUGGCAAUUUACCUGAGGUCUUUCCAGCUGCACCUUUUUUAUUGAUCUGAAAUUACCUUAGUGGGGGCCUUAGCCUUCUUUCACACGAUCUUAGAAGGAGAGUAGGUUACAAGUAUUUAUACACACACGGAUGUGAGUGUGUGUGUGUAUAUAUAUAUGGCGUUCUAUGUGAAUGUAUUCAAAGGAAGCAUUGUAUAUGUAUACAUAUGAGACAUUAUAUAUGUGCAUAUACAUGAGGCUUUGUGUGUGUGUGUGUGUGUAUCUAUGGCAUUAUCGCUGUGUAUGUAUUUCUGGAAAGGGAGUAGGGGUGGAGCUAAGGGCACUGAGGAAUACAGGCCAAUGUGUGUAUAUAUAGAAAAUAAUUUGAGAAUGUAUAUACAAUUAUUUGAGAAUUUAAUAGUUACUGUCUUUAAGUUAAACUUUAAUCCUCUGCUGAGUUUUUAUUUUCUAUCCAGUGAAGGAGAUCCUCUCACCACCGGGGACAAAGAGGUUUGGUGUCUGUCAAGCCUGCCCUGGAACUCUGAUUCCAGUUGUGCAAAGAGACACGGUCUAGAACAGAGUUUUCAACCCCAGCCCUGUUGACACUUGGGGUCAGAUAAUGUCUCAUGCGUUGUAGGAUGUUUAGCAGCAUCCCUGGCCUCUACCCACCAGAUUCCAGUAGCAGCCCCUCAAACCGCUCCAAGUCAUGAUAACCGAGAUGCCCCCUGGGGCACUGCCCCAGUCAAGAGCUCUGCUCUGGAGGGACCCGGCUUCAGGCACAGAGCAGCUGUUCCCGAAAUAACGUUUCUUCUUCUUUUAGGCUUCUGCCACCUGGCACUCAGUAUUCAGGGAUCUUCAGUCCUCUCAAGCAGGAAAAUUUUGUGGAACUCUAGACUGCAGUAGACAUAAUCCAGAAAUUAUAAAUUUUUAAAGAUCCCCGUUUCAGAAAUGGGGAAACUGAGACCCAGGGAGGGGAAGGAGCUUGCCCACGGGCACACGAGAGCCAGGGACUGGCAUGUAAAUGUUCCCUGGCUGACCAGCUCCCCCAUCUUCUCUCUCACCACC
Molecule: long non-coding RNA, 2729 nt
Filed under: Equus asinus (donkey)
Lineage: Eukaryota; Metazoa; Chordata; Mammalia; Perissodactyla; Equidae
Description: lncRNA (ENSEASG00005031196.1)
Source: RNAcentral